RNAcentral lists this ribosomal RNA (494 nucleotides) under uncultured bacterium. RNAcentral's name for it is "partial 16S ribosomal RNA". It matches the Rfam family "Bacterial small subunit ribosomal RNA", at positions 28 to 507 of the family's 1533-position model. The record is from RNAcentral.
GACGAACGCUGGCGGCGCGCUUAACACAUGCAAGUCGAACGGAAAGGCCUGCUUUCCCUUGUGGAUUUCGUAUACUCGAGUGGCGAACGGGUGAGUAACACGUGAGUGUUCUGCCCCGAACUUGGGUAUAAGCAUGGGAAACUGGGUCUAAUUCUCGAUAGGACUGCAGGGUGGUGCCUGUGGUGGCAAACGAUCUUCUAGUGGUUGAGGAUGAGCUCGUGGCCUAUCAGCUUGUUGGUGUGGUAGUGGCCUACAAAGACGGAGACGGGUAGCCGGCCUGAGAUCGGGGACGGCCACAUUGGGACUGGGACACGACCCAGACUCGUACGAGAGGUAGCAGUGGGGAAGAUAGCACAAAGGGCGGAAGGCAGAAGCAGCGAGGCAGUGUGGGGGAUGACGGCCUUCGGGUUGUAAGCUCCUUGCGACCGAGAGAAAGCUAACUGGUUGGAAGGGUGGUGACGGUAGUUGAACAGGAAGCCCCGGCUAACUACGUG